ACUGUUCAUACGUUGACGGUAUUUAACCAGAAAGUCACGGCUACUACGUGCCAGCAGCCGCGGUAAUACGUAGGUGGCAAGCGUUAUCCGGAUUUAUUGGGCGUAAAGAGAGUGCAGGCGGUUUUCUAAGUCUGAUGUGAAAGCCUUCGGCUUAACCGGAGAAGUGCAUCGGAAACUGGAUAACUUGAGUGCAGAAGAGGGUAGUGGAACUCCAUGUGUAGCGGUGGAAUGCGUAGAUAUAUGGAAGAACACCAGUGGCGAAGGCGGCUACCUGGUCUGCAACUGACGCUGAGACUCGAAAGCAUGGGUAGCGAACAGGAUUAGAUACCCUGGUAGUCCAUGCCGUAAACGAUGAGUGCUAGGUGUUGGAGGGUUUCCGCCCUUCAGUGCCGGAGCUAACGCAUUAAGCACUCCGCCUGGGGAGUACGACCGCAAGGUUGAAACUCAAAGGAAUUGACGGGGGCCCGCACAAGCGGUGGAGCAUGUGGUUUAAUUCGAAGCUACGCGAAGAACCUUACCAGGUCUUGACAUCUUGCGCCAACCCUAGAGAUAGGGCGUUUCCUUCGGGAACGCAAUGACAGGUGGUGCAUGGUCGUCGUCAGCUCGUGUCGUGAGAUGUUGGGUUAAGUCCCGCAACGAGCGCAACCCUUGUUACUAGUUGCCAGCAUUAAGUUGGGCACUCUAGUGAGACUGCCGGUGACAAACCGGAGGAAGGUGGGGACGACGUCAGAUCAUCAUGCCCCUUAUGACCUGGGCUACACACGUGCUACAAUGGACGGUACAACGAGUCGCGAACUCGCGAGGGCAAGCAAAUCUCUUAAAACCGUUCUCAGUUCGGACUGCAGGCUGCAACUCGCCUGCACGAAGUCGGAAUCGCUAGUAAUCGCGGAUCAGCAUGCCGCGGUGAAUACGUUCCCGGGCCUUGUACACACCGCCCGUCACACCAUGAGAGUUUGUAACACCCAAAGUCGGUGGGGUAACCUUUUAGGAGCCAGCCGCCUAAGGUGGGACAGAUGAUUAGGGUGAAGUCGUAACAAGUAGC
This 1042-nucleotide ribosomal RNA is filed under the name Limosilactobacillus fermentum. RNAcentral's name for it is "bacterial SSU rRNA". It matches the Rfam family "Bacterial small subunit ribosomal RNA", at positions 457 to 1500 of the family's 1533-position model. The record is from RNAcentral. Lineage: Bacteria; Bacillati; Bacillota; Bacilli; Lactobacillales; Lactobacillaceae.